RNAcentral lists this ribosomal RNA (305 nucleotides) under uncultured bacterium. RNAcentral describes it as "bacterial SSU rRNA". It matches the Rfam family "Bacterial small subunit ribosomal RNA", at positions 336 to 657 of the family's 1533-position model. The record is from RNAcentral.
UUCCUACGGGGGGCAGCAGUGGGGAAUAUUGCACAAUGGGGGAAACCCUGAUGCAGCGACGCCGCGUGAGCGAAGAAGUAUUUCGGUAUGUAAAGCUCUAUCAGCAGGGAAGAAAAUGACGGUACCUGACUAAGAAGCCCCGGCUAACUACGUGCCAGCAGCCGCGGUAAUACGUAGGGGGCAGGCGUUAUCCGGAUUUACUGGGUGUAAAGGGAGCGUAGACGGCUGCUGCAAGUCUGAAGUGAAAACCCAGGGCUCAACCUUGGGACUGCUUUGGAAACUGUAGAGCUUGAGUACCGGAGGGG